RNAcentral lists this transfer RNA (72 nucleotides) under Capra hircus (goat). It matches the Rfam family "tRNA". Rfam says of the family: Transfer RNA (tRNA) molecules are approximately 80 nucleotides in length. Their secondary structure includes four short double-helical elements and three loops (D, anti-codon, and T loops). RNAcentral also lists the same sequence under 1 other name. Lineage: Eukaryota; Metazoa; Chordata; Mammalia; Artiodactyla; Bovidae. The record is from Rfam by way of RNAcentral.
UUCCUUCUGGCUCAUAUGGUAAAGAAUCUGCCUGCAAUACAGGAGACCCAGGUUCAAUUCCUGGGUUGGGAA